UCGAGGAAAAGCGAGGCUAGUUGAGUAGCCAAAACGAUCGUACGAAAUUAUCGAGAGUUGGACUUUGAACUAAGAUUCUAGAUGCAAGAACGAAUUGGAUAAAUGAAUGGAAAUCACAUUCGAUUCUUGAAAUCAGUUGAAAGCUCGGGAAUCGUCAGCAUCUCGUCACACUAUCGACUAAUUUGGUAUUU
Gossypium arboreum is the source of this 191-nucleotide long non-coding RNA. RefSeq lists it as uncharacterized. The record is from RefSeq and is a predicted model, not a curated record. The transcript has 3 exons. Lineage: Eukaryota; Viridiplantae; Streptophyta; Magnoliopsida; Malvales; Malvaceae.